AUUUUGGAAGACGAACUACUGGAAAGCAUUACCAAGGAUGUUUCAUAAUCAAGAACGAAAGUUAGGGAUCGAAGAUGAUUAGAUACCAUCGUAGUCUUAACCAUAAACUAUGCCGACAAGGGAUUGGCGGAGUUUCGUUUGUCUCCGUCAGCACCUUAUGAGAAAUCACAAGUCUUGGGUUCCGGGGGGAGUAUGGUCGCAAGGCUGAAACUUAAAGAAAUUGACGGAAGGGCACCACCAGGAGUGGAGCUUGCGGCUUAAUUGACUCAACACGGGAAAACUUACCAGGUCCAGACAUAGUGAGGAUUGACAGAUUGAGAGCUC
RNAcentral lists this ribosomal RNA (324 nucleotides) under Nitzschia sp. RCC5395. RNAcentral's name for it is "SSU rRNA". It matches the Rfam family "Eukaryotic small subunit ribosomal RNA", at positions 925 to 1257 of the family's 1831-position model. The record is from RNAcentral. Lineage: Eukaryota; Bacillariophyta; Bacillariophyceae; Bacillariales; Bacillariaceae.